UGGGGAAUAUUGCACAAUGGAGGGAACUCUGAUGCAGCGACGCCGCGUGAGUGAUGAAGGAAUUCGUUUCGUAAAACUCUGUUCUAUGGGAAGAAAAGGACUGUACUUUAGGAGAAAGCUCCGGCUAAAUACGUGCCAGCAGCCGCGGUAAUACGUAUGGAGCGAGCGUUGUCCGGAAUUAUUUGGCGUAAAGGGUGCGCAGGCGGCUUUACAAGUUGGAUGUGAAAUAUUGUGGCUCAACCACAAACGUGCAUCCAAAACUGCAAAGCUUGAGUUAAGGAGAGGUAAGUGGAAUUCCUGGUGUAGCGGUGGAAUGCGUAGAUAUCAGGAGGAAUACCGGUGGCAAAGGCGACUUACUGAACUUAAACUGACGCACAGGCACGAAAGCGUGGGGAGCAAACAGG
This 404-nucleotide ribosomal RNA is filed under the name Fusobacteriota bacterium. RNAcentral's name for it is "Fusobacteria bacterium partial 16S ribosomal RNA". It matches the Rfam family "Bacterial small subunit ribosomal RNA", at positions 355 to 776 of the family's 1533-position model. The record is from RNAcentral. Lineage: Bacteria; Fusobacteriati; Fusobacteriota.